RNAcentral lists this ribosomal RNA (257 nucleotides) under uncultured bacterium. RNAcentral describes it as "partial 16S ribosomal RNA". It matches the Rfam family "Bacterial small subunit ribosomal RNA", at positions 524 to 776 of the family's 1533-position model. The record is from RNAcentral.
UACGUAGGGUGCAAGCGUUGUCCGGAAUUAUUGGGCGUAAAGAGCUCGUAGGCGGCUUGUCGCGUCGUCCGUGAAAACCCCACAGCUCAACUGUGGGCUUGCGGUCGAUACGGGCAGGCUAGAGUUCGGUAGGGGAGACUGGAAUUCCUGGUGUAGCGGUGAAAUGCGCAGAUAUCAGGAGGAACACCGGUGGCGAAGGCGGGUCUCUGGGCAGUAACUGACGGCUGGAGGAGCGGAAAGCGUGGGGAGCGAACAGG